UGGGGUAUGGUGUAAUUGGCAACACGGCUGAUUCUGGUUCAGUUGUUCUAGGUUCGAGUCCUAGUACCCCAGCCA
RNAcentral lists this transfer RNA (75 nucleotides) under Aeromicrobium sp. PE09-221. RNAcentral describes it as "tRNA-Gln". It matches the Rfam family "tRNA". Rfam says of the family: Transfer RNA (tRNA) molecules are approximately 80 nucleotides in length. Their secondary structure includes four short double-helical elements and three loops (D, anti-codon, and T loops). RNAcentral also lists the same sequence under 2 other names. The record is from RNAcentral. Lineage: Bacteria; Bacillati; Actinomycetota; Actinomycetes; Propionibacteriales; Nocardioidaceae.